This 557-nucleotide long non-coding RNA is filed under the name Equus caballus (horse). Its description in RNAcentral is "lncRNA (ENSECAG00000053479.1)". Lineage: Eukaryota; Metazoa; Chordata; Mammalia; Perissodactyla; Equidae. The record is from RNAcentral.
UGAGGCAAAAGUAAUCCAUAUAAAACGGCAUAACCCACCUUUCAUGGGCUAUAUGGUUAAGAAUACAUUUUACCGGUCAACUAUUCUCACAGAAACCUAAUCUUUCAAAACAUCAGAUUGUAUCACUGCAAAAAUAAGUGAUUACUUGAGGAGAUGCAUGAUGAUACUAUGGAAAGAAUCUGGAAUUUAGAGUCAAAAGACUAGCCUGUGUCAGAUUCCUCUUUGCCCAAAGUUAGAUUCUUUCAGCCUACAUUUUUUUCCUCCAGUGGUUGCUAUAGCAACCAGCUGGGGCAGGUGUAACCUGACGGAACCUCAUUGAGUAUCUGUCACCCUGCAACUUCUCAGCUGCCUCCAUGUGGGAGAUAUGGGACCCACUCAGCUAUUCUGGUGGAUGUGAAGCCCUGAAAGUGUAUGCUUGUAGCGGGCCAACUGCAGGAGUUGCUGAAUUGGGUCUGCCUGGGACAAGGUAGACCCUCUCUCAGUACUGGAAGCAUUAUUUUGAUAGAGUGAGGAAAACCACAAAAGUAAAAGAGGUUUCGAGGCGCUAUUUUAAUAUU